Non-coding RNA from Theobroma cacao (cacao), 274 nucleotides. The record is from RefSeq and is a predicted model, not a curated record. Lineage: Eukaryota; Viridiplantae; Streptophyta; Magnoliopsida; Malvales; Malvaceae.
AGAAAAAGUGUGAAAAAUCAAGGAAAGCAAGUGAAAAAGGUGAUGAGUCCUCCGAUAAUGGCAAAGAAAUUAUAUCCGAGGACCGGUAGUCAAAGUACUUCGAAAAUCCGCACUCUAUACAUUUAUAAGCUGUAGAUAGUUGAUAUCGUCGAAGGCUACAGUUGGCUUUACUUCCUCAAAAACUAUAAGUUUGCAACCUUCGUUCAUUUUUGUCAUUUAAGACUCCACAUGUCAUUGUAAAUUAAAUUUCAUACUCUAGUUAUCUGUACUACUG